Molecule: ribosomal RNA, 587 nt
Filed under: Ochromonas sp. CCMP1393
Lineage: Eukaryota; Chrysophyceae; Chromulinales; Chromulinaceae
Description: partial Bacterial large subunit ribosomal RNA
Rfam family: Bacterial large subunit ribosomal RNA
Source: RNAcentral
GUUAAGUGACGAAGCGUAUACGGUGGAUGCCUUGGCAGUUAGAGGCGAUGAAGGACGUGUAAGUCUGCGAAAAGCUGUGGUGAGCCGACAAAAUGCAUUUGAGCCACAGAUGUCCGAAUGGGGAAACCCACCUAUUUAUAGGUAUCGUUAACUGAAUACAUAGGUUAACGAGGCAAACGAGGGGAACUGAAACAUCUAAGUACCCUUAGGAAAAGAAAUCAACCGAGAUUCCCCUAGUAGCGGCGAGCGAACGGGGAGCAGCCCUUAAGCUGUUUAGAAUUUAGUGGAAUCCUUUGGGAAGAGGAGCGAUACAAGGUGAUAGCCCUGUACACGACGGAUUCUUUACAGUGAAAUCGAGUAGGUCGGGACACGUGUUAUCUUGACUGAAUAUGGGGGGACCAUCCUCCAAGGCUAAAUACUCCUAACUGACCGAUAGUGAACCAGUACCGUGAGGGAAAGGCGAAAAGAACCCCUGUGAGGGGAGUGAAAUAGAACCUGAAACCGUAUACGUACAAGCAGUGGGAGCCACUUCGUGUGGUGACUGCGUACCUUUUGUAUAAUGGGUCAGCGACUUAUAUUUAGUAGCA